RNAcentral lists this ribosomal RNA (394 nucleotides) under Quistrachia turneri. Its description in RNAcentral is "partial 16S ribosomal RNA". It matches the Rfam family "Bacterial large subunit ribosomal RNA", at positions 1796 to 2550 of the family's 2925-position model. The record is from RNAcentral. Lineage: Eukaryota; Metazoa; Mollusca; Gastropoda; Stylommatophora; Camaenidae.
UCGCCUGUUUAUCAAAAACAUAGCCAUUAGUAGUUGUUAUUGGUGAUUUCUGCUCAAUGAUAUUUUAAAUAGCCGCAGUACCCUGACUGUGCAAAGGUAGCAUAAUAAAUUGGCUUAUAAUUAAAGUCUAGAAUGAAUGAGAUAAUGGAGAAUAACUGUAUCUUGGGUGAUAUAUAAAAUUACUUAGCACGUGAAAAUUCGUGUAAUUAACUAAUAGACGAGAAGACCCUAGAAAUUUUAAGAACUUGUUUACAUGGUUUUUGUUGGGGCAACAGUGUAACAAAUAACUUACAUUAUUUACAAGAAAUAUAAUUUGACAGAAUAAAUUACUCUAGGGAUAACAGCGUAAUGUUAUAGACGAUUGCGACCUCGAUGUUGGACUAGGAUACGAAAG